Homo sapiens (human) is the source of this 639-nucleotide long non-coding RNA. Ensembl annotates it as long intergenic non-protein coding RNA 1152. The record is from Ensembl. Lineage: Eukaryota; Metazoa; Chordata; Mammalia; Primates; Hominidae.
CCGCAACCAACACCACCACCAGUCCAGGACCUGAUGUAAUAUUGCCACAGACUGAUUCCCGUUGCCUUUGAUAUGCAACCUGUGCCUACAGUCAGCUCUCAGGGCUAAAGAAAACAGUCAGCUCCUGCGGCAUCUGAUUUGCCUCCUGCCCUCGCUGCUGUUAAUCUGCAACACGCCACAGCCUCUAGAUCGCUGCCGUUCAGAGUCGGAUGUCAUGGGGGCGACUGGCAGGGGUUCUUUCUUCUUUCGGUUUGAUACAUCCUUCCUUCCGCUGCUCCUCGCAAUCAACCGCUAGGGGAAGGAGGGAAGCAGGCAGGAGGGAGAGCGGGAGACUUCCGGAAAUCCCUUUCCUCCCUUCCCUUCACAGGUUGCCCCAUAGUGACCCUGGAGACUCCCGCCUGCCCCCAGUGAAGGAAUUGGUUACUCUCCCAGAGCCCUCCCGGGCAUCGCCCCCUUCCUCACUUCCUCCUCUUCCUGCCCCCAGCCUCUACCCCUCCAGCCUCCUGUGGCUUCACAGGCAAGUGCCGCAUCCCAGGAAGAAGGAGUUGGAGCUCCGUGAUGUUCUGGAAGCUGAGAAGUCUAAGGUCAAGACUCCAGUGGAUUACGCAUCUGGCGAGAGCCUACUUCCUGGUUUGUAGG